Molecule: ribosomal RNA, 497 nt
Filed under: uncultured bacterium
Lineage: Bacteria
Description: partial 16S ribosomal RNA
Rfam family: Bacterial small subunit ribosomal RNA
Source: RNAcentral
GACGAACGCUGGCGGCGUGCCUAAUACAUGCAAGUUGAGCGCUGAAGGUUGGUACUUGUACCCACUGGAUGAGCAGCGAACGGGUGAGUAACGCGUGGGGAAUCUGCCUUUGAGCGGGGGACAACAUUUGGAAACGAAUGCUAAUACCGCAUAAAAACUUUAAACACAAGUUUUAAGUUUGAAAGAUGCAAUUGCAUCACUCAAAGAUGAUCCCGCGUUGUAUUAGCUAGUUGGUGAGGUAAAGGCUCACCAAGGCGAUGAUACAUAGCCGACCUGAGAGGGUGAUCGGCCACAUUGGGACGGAGACACGGCCCAAACUCCUACGGGAGGCAGCAGUAGGGAAUCUUCGGCAAUGGACGAAAGUCUGACCGAGCAACGCCGCGUGAGUGAAGAAGGUUGUCGGAUCGUAAAACUCUGUUGGUAGAGAAGAACGUUGGUGAGAGUGGAAAGCUCAUCAAGUGACGGUAACUACCCAGAAAGGGACGGCUAACUACGUG